GUGUACCGUGGCCUUUUCAAACUCGCCCGGCUGGCAAGCAGGCUGGCUUUUGGAAUCAAGCAAUGCUGUUUUGAACUGCUGCCAAAUGACACAGCCUCUGCCGGCGCAGCUGAAACGUUUACAGCCUCCCCUCACUUCGACAGGAAGAGACACUGGGAGCAAAUUUGUAGGAGAGGGAGGGAAAACUUGGAAUAAAUCUUUGUCUGCAACUAAAGCCCGGCUUGCAUCGAGGAUUUCCUUCUGUGCUCGCACGCACACCCUGAUUUGGCACGGUGCCAUUCGGAAAGAUGUUUAAAAAAGAUGUUUUUUUUCCACUCUGGGAGAGUUGAACAUGGAACGGAUACGCUGGGAAGAGUUCAGCGAGUUCAGUUAAUACAAAAUAUGUAAAUGCUUCAAUAACAAAGGAAUGAUGACGUCACGAGCUGUGCUGCCCGGGACGCUGCCUGAUAGCAGACAGGACAAGCAGGGGGAAUCUUGGAUUUAUUUGAAACUAUGCCAUGGGUACGGGAGCGUGUUCCUGAUUUACAUCAGGGCAUUCUUGCACCAGGAAGAGGACCAUGUGUAACGACUGAUGCAUUUGAGUUACUUUUUCAUGGUAAGGAACUUGACGACCUGCAGGAGCCUUGCAAACUUUGAGAAUUUGCAACUGUCACGUUGAGACCGCGUUGCACACGGCAGUCACUUCCCCGAUGCUUAUCUGAAUGUUACUUUCUUCGCUACUCUCAAACGAAUUACUGCACACAAAGUUCAACUUAGGUAAUGAUGUCAAACUUGACAUAUGAGUCAUAAAACCGCAAGAAUCAGCCGUCAAGUGGGAUCUACUCUGACUCUUUGAGGAAGUGCUAUAGAUGAAAAAGAAAUCCAAAACACAGGCAGUGCCCGAACAGCCUGUGGAUGUGUCUAAUUAUUAGCGGGGAGUAUAACUGCUUGAACUACCUGGGACGGAUGCCAAAUUGUUACAAAGGCAAUCAUUGCAUUCUCGAGAAUGAGCGGAAUCAAGACUUCGUCCUUUCGCACUUCUUUCGGGUGGGGGUUACUUAUCGUUUUGGAGAAACCACGAAAGGCAUUGACUUAUUACAGAAGAGCUUAUUCACAGUGGUUCAAAAUCACCCUGUGCCAAAGUGGGCAGGGAGAAAGUGCUCGUGGUGAGGCGGGUGAAGUGGAGGCCGCUCUACGUGCUCUUUCUUCAGCCACAACCCCGUGGAAGAGAAUAUUUGGUGGCAGCACAUUUCUGGGUUUCUCUCUGUCAGUUAACCGCACUUCAUGCACGAAUGCGAAUCUGCUCUUCCUGACGCCAUGACCCCUACUUGCCUUCCCGUAGCAUUUGGCGUUCGAGUCACUAGCCUGCAGGUAUUCUAGCCGUCUGCGGUCCGGUUGGUUAACAUCUGAUGGUUAUCUGUCUGCUGUUCUUGGGGCUGAGGUAGUAGAUUGAAUAGUUGUGGAGCCUUGUGCUCUGUCACUGAGAAAACUAUACAAUCUACUGUCUUUCCUAAGGCGACAGCCAAAUCGUCCACAAACAACACAGCGUUAUCGGAAACAGUCCCCGUACACACUUCCUGCCAAUGAACCUUCAGCAACAUUCGGUUUCUCCAUCUCUGUUCUUUGGUAUGAUUUUAAAGUCAGCAUGAAAUGCAAAUGAACCCUGGUUACUUUACAAUUAAGUUUUACGUGAAUGCAUUUUGCAUUUUUAUCCAAAGCAACUUAACAGUACCGUAAUACAUUUAUCUGUGUUUCCUCAGUGAUCUUUGCACUGAUAACACCAUGCUCUAUCAUUCGAGCAUUGCUUUCUUAACUUUCUAAGUAUACCUUGCAUAAUUCUAAAUGCACGUUUUAGAACAAAAUGCAUUUGUAAUCGUCAACAUGUACAGUUAUAAUUUCCUUUUUGACUGACAUCACCAAACUGUUGUUUUUCAACACCUCCACUGUUUAUAAUAUAGAGACGACGCCCAGGAAGUUGGGCCUGUCCAUUCUGUUUUCACAACCCAAUUAGUUCUUGAUGAAUUGUAGUCCCGCUUUACAUUUUUUUCUAGUUUAAUCUCCUGUUUUGCUUAGAAACCCAUCAGAUUAUGAAAGUAAAAUUGGAGUCAAUGCCUUUCAUGUUGACCAUAAAAAUGCACCAUUUAUGGUAAACGUUAGUUAUUGGCAAGGAAAUGAAGUAAAGGAAAGUGUGUAGUUUUUGAAGUAUUUUAAAAUAAACAUACUCCCAAACAUUCACCCAUCUUUCAAUUGUCAGGCAAACAGAUAAUCCUUCCCCAAAUUAAUGUCAUUGUUUGAGCCAAUGUUUACAUUUUGGUGCCCUGUCAGGGUGAGGUAGUAGGUUGUAUAGUUUGGUGGGAGGGAUCAAACCCUGUUCAGGUGAUAACUAUACAGUCUAUUGCCUUCCUUGUGGUACCAACUAUCUGCCGGCUAGCAAAAAAGCAUCUCUGUGGCUUAAAGUAUUUUUUCCACACUAAUACCAAACACAUCUGAAGCAGACGUACACGAUGUUGGUCUCUCUAAUGCAGGCUUAAGAUGCUGCUAUAGUAUUUCAUGAGGACAAUAAAUCAGAUUAAAUCAGAUUUACUGAGCUGGGAUUUAUGGCUAAAUCAAUAUUUUAGCUUUGCAGUUGGAAUGUAUUUCUGUGGAGAGAUCAGACAGAUUUUACACACGUAGCAUGAAAUGUUCACUAUUGUAUUAGACAAGAAAAUGGCUUGUAAAUAUGUAAAUAACAUUAAACAAUAUAACAAAUCACC
Long non-coding RNA from Triplophysa rosa, 2732 nucleotides. RefSeq lists it as uncharacterized. The transcript has 3 exons. The record is from RefSeq and is a predicted model, not a curated record. NCBI's taxonomy places the organism in Eukaryota, Metazoa, Chordata, Actinopteri, Cypriniformes, Nemacheilidae.